GACAGAGGGUGCUAGCGUUGUUCGGAAUUACUGGGCGUAAAGGGCGCGUAGGCGGCCCGUUUAGUCGGGUGUGAAAUCCCAAGGCUCAACCUUGGAACUGCAUUCGAUACUGGCGGGCUAGAGACCGGAAGAGGUGGGUGGAAUACCCAGUGUAGAGGUGAAAUUCGUAGAUAUUGGGUGGAACACCGGUGGCGAAGGCGGCUCACUGGUCCGGUUCUGACGCUGAGGCGCGAAAGCGUGGGGAGCAAACAGG
Molecule: ribosomal RNA, 253 nt
Filed under: uncultured bacterium
Lineage: Bacteria
Also listed under: 1 other name
Description: partial 16S ribosomal RNA
Rfam family: Bacterial small subunit ribosomal RNA
Source: RNAcentral